AGUGUACCCGCGGCUAGACGGAAAGACCCCGUGAACCUUUACUACAGCUUGGCACUGAACAUUGACCCUACAUGUGUAGGAUAGGUGGGAGGCUUUGAAGCGCAGUCGCUAGAUUGCGUGGAGCCGUCCUUGAAAUACCACCCUUGUAGUGUUGAUGUUCUAACGUUGACCCCUUAUCGGGGUUGCGGACAGUGCCUGGUGGGUAGUUUGACUGGGGCGGUCUCCUCCCAAAGCGUAACGGAGGAGCACGAAGGUGGGCUAAUCACGGUUGGACAUCGUGAGGUUAGUGCAAUGGCAUAA
This 300-nucleotide ribosomal RNA is filed under the name Vibrio alginolyticus. Its description in RNAcentral is "partial 23S ribosomal RNA". It matches the Rfam family "Bacterial large subunit ribosomal RNA", at positions 2063 to 2362 of the family's 2925-position model. The record is from RNAcentral. Lineage: Bacteria; Pseudomonadati; Pseudomonadota; Gammaproteobacteria; Vibrionales; Vibrionaceae.